Molecule: ribosomal RNA, 394 nt
Filed under: uncultured bacterium
Lineage: Bacteria
Description: partial 16S ribosomal RNA
Rfam family: Bacterial small subunit ribosomal RNA
Source: RNAcentral
CCUACGGGAGGCAGCAGUGAGGAAUAUUGGUCAAUGGGCGUAAGCCUGAACCAGCCAAGUCGCGUGAGGGAUGAAGGAUCUAUGGUUUGUAAACUUCUUUUAUAAGGGAAUAAAGUGCGGGACGUGUCCUGUUUUGUAUGUACCUUAUGAAUAAGGAUCGGCUAACUCCGUGCCAGCAGCCGCGGUAAUACGGAGGAUCCGAGCGUUAUCCGGAUUUAUUGGGUUUAAAGGGUGCGUAGGCGGACUUUUAAGUCAGCUGUGAAAGUUUGCGGCUCAACCGUAGAAUUGCAGUUGAAACUGGCAGUCUUGAGUAUGUUAGAGGCGGGCGGAAUGCGUGGUGUAGCGGUGAAAUGCAUAGAUAUCACGAAGAACUCCGAUUGCGAAGGCAGUCCAC